UGGGGAAUCUUGCACAAUGGGGGAAACCCUGAUGCAGCGACGCCGCGUGAACGAUGAAGCCCUUCGGGGUGUAAAGUUCUUUCGACAGGAACGAUAAUGACGGUACCAUUUAUAAGCUCCGGCUAACUACGUGCCAGCAGCCGCGGUAAUACGUAGGGAGCAAGCGUUGUUCGGAUUUACUGGGCGUAAAGGGCGCGUAGGCGGCGCGGUAAGUCACUUGUGAAAUCUCUGAGCUUAACUCAGAACGGCCAAGUGAUACUGCUGUGCUAGAGUGCGGAAGAGGCAACCGGAAUUCUUGGUGUAGCGGUGAAAUGCGUAGAUAUCAAGAGGAACACCUGAGGCGAAGGCGGGUUGCUGGGCCGACACUGACGCUGAUGCGCGAAAGCCAGGGGAGCAAACG
Molecule: ribosomal RNA, 400 nt
Filed under: uncultured bacterium
Lineage: Bacteria
Description: bacterial SSU rRNA
Rfam family: Bacterial small subunit ribosomal RNA
Source: RNAcentral